This 256-nucleotide ribosomal RNA is filed under the name uncultured bacterium. Its description in RNAcentral is "partial 16S ribosomal RNA". It matches the Rfam family "Bacterial small subunit ribosomal RNA", at positions 524 to 776 of the family's 1533-position model. The record is from RNAcentral.
UACAGAGACCUCAAGCGUUAUCCGGAUUUACUGGGCGUAAAGCGUUCCGAUCGGUGGAUUAGUGUGUUUGUUGUGAAAUGCCGGGGCUCAACCCCGUGCCUGCAGCGAAAACUAUUAAUCUAGAAGGUCAAAGAGGUGGCUAGAAUUCUGCAAGUACCGGUGAAAUGGGUUGAUAUGCAGGAGAAUACCAAAAGCGAAGGCAGGCCACUGGGUGACUCUUGACACUGCUAGGACGAAAGCGUGGGGAGCGAAUAGG